Molecule: ribosomal RNA, 208 nt
Filed under: uncultured bacterium
Lineage: Bacteria
Description: partial 16S ribosomal RNA
Rfam family: Bacterial small subunit ribosomal RNA
Source: RNAcentral
CACGUAGGCGGUUUGUUAAGUCGGAUGUGAAAGCCCCGGGCUCAACCUGGGAACUGCAUUCGAUACUGUCAGACUAGAGUAUAGAAGAGGCAAGUGGAAUUCCGGGUGUAGCGGUGAAAUGCGUAGAUAUCCGGAGGAACAUCAGUGGCGAAGGCGACUUGCUGGUCUAAUACUGACGCUGAGGUGCGAAAGCGGUGGGGAGCAAACG